CCAAUCGGCGUCCGGGGGAGUGUCUGUAGGUUGGGCCGCUGGUGUUUGCGCUAUGGAAAAUCGUUACUGUGGGAUACGCCGCAGAUAAACGUGCGCUCGUGGGGCCGACUGUGGCGGCGAAGGGGACAACCGUGGCAGGCCGAGCUCUCACGAAGGAGCGGUUGGACCAACGACACCUCAGCGGCUUUGGAGGGGAACAAUCUCCGCGAUAAACACAUGGCGGGCCUUAGGCACACUCAGACUUUCGAGGCUUCCUCCCCAGGGAACCGGUUUCAGAUGGUGUGUUAGAGUGUAAAGUCCCAUCUAGCACCAUUUGAAAUCGGUGUUCUUGAGCAGGAACACACUUCGGGGGGCUUGCACAGCAAAGGCGUCUCAUCAGCCUCACCAAGGUUGACCGUUUUCCUCUGGUGUUCAGAGUUGCCAUCAUGUCUAGCACCAUUUGAAAUCGGUUACAAUGUGGAGGGAAGCUCAAGCCAUGCAGCUUUGUUGAUGUGCUGCCUUACAAGGCCAACAGGUGGCAGCCUUGUGACAUCAUCGCGGCUGCUCAAUGGUACACUUCAUUUACACAUUUUUAUUGAAGUAUUUUUGUUGUUUUACUCAGCUGUGGUAAAAUGUAUAUGAAAUUUUCAUGCUCACACUUUUUUUCACUUCAUUAAAUAUUUCAAAUGUCAAGCUGAAAUAUGACUGAUUUUUGCAAGUUGACAUAAACAGGCAAUUCUUUGGGAGGGGAGACUAGAAUUAAGAAUUGAUUCAAAACAUGUUUAGUCAUACUAUUAGUGGGAAUACUGUCACUAAAUAUUUGUAUUCAAGCAUGAGUGCUGUUAUUUUUGUAAAAUCUGACGUAAAUAAAAGUAGUCCUUAAAAUAAUUAUGAUAUGAUAUCCAAUUGCACUUGCUUGACCCUUAUGCCUCUUUUUAUCUAUGUGAUGGUGUUAUUUAUAUUUUACAGUCCUAUCUAUGCUGGUAAGCCUUUUAUUUUAGAGAGUGAUUAAUUCAUUUUAAAAUAAUACUCAACACUUAAUGCUAUAACAAAUGACGUAAGUGUCAAACUCUGCACAACAGUGUUGAUUCAUUGCUGAUGAACCUCUGGAGAGUUAUAUUUUUAGACAACUUGUAAAAAUAGGGAACGAUGAUGGAUGAUGCCGUGCUACUUUUAAGUUACAGCUCUGUCUUCGCACUCCCGUGAAUCAUUUUCCCCUGCACUGACUCCUCCCUUGCAGAUUCACUCCUUACUCUUACCCAAACAUGGCCCACAUUCAGAGAUCCGUCACAGCUUCAUACCCAAUUUUCCGGUUUGCCUUCACUCUCCUCCUAAUCGUACCGAUACCCAUGUCAAACAAUGCAGGAUACAUACAGGAGACGGAGAGAGAAAUAUCCAGCUCCACCCCUCAUGUAGGCUUUGUUCGCAUGAUAAAACCCUGGCAAGUCUUAUAUCGUUGCAAAAUCAACACGAAACCAGCUCACCUCAAAGCUUAUGUGAGUCACAGGGAGUUCCUCAAUCAAGCAUGACUACCAAACAUUUUACAGUCAGAUUUUCCUUUCUUGGCAUCUCAAGAAAAACCUCAAGAUGU
Syngnathus acus (greater pipefish) is the source of this 1570-nucleotide long non-coding RNA. RefSeq lists it as uncharacterized. The record is from RefSeq and is a predicted model, not a curated record. The transcript has 2 exons. Lineage: Eukaryota; Metazoa; Chordata; Actinopteri; Syngnathiformes; Syngnathidae.